GUAGCAGCAUGUGGGGGGUGGCCAUGUACUUUGAAUCAUUAGCACGUCAAUUAUACUAUCACGCUGGCUACUCCUAGUUCACUGCGCAGAGGGAUGUUCUCCUUUCACUCUACCCUUUUUUUCAUCACUCAGCUCCAGUUGUACCUUCUUUGAGAAGCUUCUACAAACAGCCCAGUUGGAAGUGCUCUGUCCCCACUGUUAAUCCUCUUGUUUCUCACCGUUACGCUCUUAGUUUUCCAUUGUUACAUGUCUUGAAGAGGAGGCACAACUGCCUUCAUAUGAGUCCAGUGUGUGUUGUCAAAAUGUAACUUUUGAAUUGUUCUAAAGCCACAGUAAGAGAAGUAAGUGGUUCAAGUUUCGUGCCUUUACAUUUC
Molecule: long non-coding RNA, 374 nt
Filed under: Homo sapiens (human)
Lineage: Eukaryota; Metazoa; Chordata; Mammalia; Primates; Hominidae
Description: non-protein coding lnc-FAM98B-1:2
Source: RNAcentral